AGAGUUUGAUCAUGGCUCAGAGUGAACGCUGGCGGCAGGCCUAAUACAUGCAAGUCGAACGGCAGCACAGCAGAGCUUGCUCUGUGGGUGGCGAGUGGCGGACGGGUGAGGAAUACGUGGGAAUCUGCCCAGUCGUGGGGGAUAACGCAGGGAAACUUACGCUAAUACCGCAUGCGCCCUUCGGGGGAAAGCCGGGGACCUUCGGGCCUGGCGCGAUUGGAUGAGCCCACGUCGGAUUAGCUAGUUGGCGGGGUAAAGGCCCACCAAGGCGACGAUCCGUAGCUGGUCUGAGAGGAUGAUCAGCCACACUGGAACUGAGACACGGUCCAGACUCCUACGGGAGGCAGCAGUAGGGAAUAUUGGACAAUGGGCGCAAGCCUGAUCCAGCCAUGCCGCGUGAGUGAAGAAGGCCCUCGGGUUGUAAAGCUCUUUUGUCCGGAAAGAAAAGCGCCGGGUUAAUACCCUGGUGUCCUGACGGUACCGGAAGAAUAAGCACCGGCUAACUUCGUG
Molecule: ribosomal RNA, 510 nt
Filed under: uncultured bacterium
Lineage: Bacteria
Description: bacterial SSU rRNA
Rfam family: Bacterial small subunit ribosomal RNA
Source: RNAcentral